This 684-nucleotide ribosomal RNA is filed under the name uncultured bacterium. RNAcentral describes it as "bacterial SSU rRNA". It matches the Rfam family "Bacterial small subunit ribosomal RNA", at positions 1 to 652 of the family's 1533-position model. The record is from RNAcentral.
CCCUUAGAGUUUGAUCCUGGCUCAGGACGAACGCUGACGGCGUGCCUAAUACAUGCAAGUCGAGCGCGGGAAGCGAGCUGAAGCCCUUCGGGGUGGACGCUCGUGGAACGAGCGGCGGACGGGUGAGUAACACGUGGGCAACCUGCCUGUAAGAUCGGAAUAACUCCGGGAAACCGGAGCUAAUGCCGGGUAACACCUUCUUUCGCAUGAAGGAAGGUUAAAAGAUGGCUUCUUGCUAUCACUUACAGAUGGGCCCGCGGCGCAUUAGCUAGUUGGUGAGGUAACGGCUCACCAAGGCGACGAUGCGUAGCCGACCUGAGAGGGUGAUCGGCCACACUGGGACUGAGACACGGCCCAGACUCCUACGGGAGGCAGCAGUAGGGAAUCUUCCGCAAUGGACGAAAGUCUGACGGAGCAACGCCGCGUGAACGAUGAAGGCUUUCGGGUCGUAAAGUUCUGUUGUCAGGGAAGAACAAGUACCGUGCGAAUAGAGCGGUACCUUGACGGUACCUGACGAGGAAGCCCCGGCUAACUACGUGCCAGCAGCCGCGGUAAUACGUAGGGGGCAAGCGUUGUCCGGAAUUAUUGGGCGUAAAGCGCGCGCAGGCGGUUCCUUAAGUCUGAUGUGAAAGCCCACGGCUCAACCGUGGAGGGUCAUUGGAAACUGGGGAACUUGAGGACAGA